UGUGCCUGCUUCAGCAACACAUAACUAAAAUCGGAACAAUAUAGAGAAGAUUAGCAGAGCCGCUGCACAAGGACGAUAUACAAAUUCCUGAAACAGUCUAUAUUGUU
Small nuclear RNA from Zalophus californianus (California sea lion), 107 nucleotides. NCBI's taxonomy places the organism in Eukaryota, Metazoa, Chordata, Mammalia, Carnivora, Otariidae. The record is from Ensembl.